UACCAGGAGUGACUUCUGGCUCUUCCUGCAAAUCAAAAUGGCUAUAAAAAGUAAACAUUUUGAAUCUAUCCAGGACAUCAAAGCACCCAUAAAGAUUUUCAUAAAAGAGGACUUCAAGACUUGUUUCAAAAAGUGAGCAAACAAGAACUGCUGCUUUGUAAAAAGCCAGACCAAAUAAAAUAAUCUCACCUAGGAGUGAAAGGCAGAGGGCUGUUGAAGCAUAAGCACAGAAUAGAGAAAGAGGCUGGCCAGAAGGAAGGCUGGAGCUCAGGAUGGGCAUGCUCCACAGCAGGUCUCGGACCCAGGCUGCAUCCUGAAUUAAGACUUCACAGAAGAACAUACAGGAGGCCUUAGAAGCAAUGAGCUCCAGUGGAAAUGAACACAUUCUAGAAUCCACAUCUUAUUGCCUAAAUAAUUUCUCCAAUAAAAGAAAACAUUCAGAGAAGUGGUUGAUUUCACAGCUGAAACAGAAGAAGUACAAGGUGGCCCUGGAGCAUCCUGAGUGGACAUGAAACAAUAAUUGCUCUGACAAGAACAGGAAGCGUGUUGAAAUGGCGUGUGAAUCACCUAAAGAGCUCCCAAUGCCCCACUGUGGAACAAGUAGAGCAAGUAUAAAUAAAUGGAUAAACAAGUAAAUAAAAUUUUAACCCAUCAAUAUGAUAAAUAUUGGUAGUUCUAGGAGAAGUAGUUCCUCUGUAUAACAAAAUUCCAAUUACUAAAUAAAGAAUGAAGGAACUUAAAACUACCAUUAGAACACCACAGUAAUUACUAUGUGGACAAGACUCACAGGUGGAUACUAAAAUUAGUAGUAUUGUAAAUGUGCUGCAUAAGCCAUCUGUAUUUUAGUAUGAGGCUCAAAAACAAAACACUUAAACAAUAAGUGCAUUAAUAUGAUAAGAGAGCAGCAAUAUAAAAAACUGAGGCAGAAGGAUUGCAAAUUUGAGUCCCAUCCAGGCAACUUAGCAAGACUCUGCCUCAAAAUAGACAAAAAUAGACAAACUGGCGUUCAGUGAUAGAAUGCCCUGGUUUUCCUCCAAAGUAACAAGCCUGUUUAAUAAAUGGUGCUAGAAAAACUGGCUUUCCACAUGCCGAAGACUAAAACUAGAUCUAU
Long non-coding RNA from Chinchilla lanigera (long-tailed chinchilla), 1111 nucleotides. RefSeq lists it as uncharacterized. NCBI's taxonomy places the organism in Eukaryota, Metazoa, Chordata, Mammalia, Rodentia, Chinchillidae. The record is from RefSeq and is a predicted model, not a curated record. The transcript is spliced from 3 exons.